Molecule: ribosomal RNA, 270 nt
Filed under: uncultured bacterium
Lineage: Bacteria
Description: partial 16S ribosomal RNA
Rfam family: Bacterial small subunit ribosomal RNA
Source: RNAcentral
ACUCCUACGGGAGGCAGCAGUGGGGAAUAUUGCACAAUGGGCGCAAGCCUGAUGCAGCCAUGCCGCGUGUGUGAAGAAGGCCUCGGUUGUAAAUGCAACUUUCAGUCGUGAGGAAGGUAGUGUAGUUAAUAGCUGCAUUAUUUGACGUUAGCGACAGAAGAAGCACCGGCUAACUCCGUGCCAGCAGCCGCGGUAAUACGGAGGGUGCGAGCGUUAAUCGGAAUUACUGGGCGUAAAAGCGCAUGCAGGUGGUUUGUUAAGUCAGAUGUG